CAGCAGCCGCGGUAAUACGUAGGGGGCGAGCGUUGUCCGGAAUUAUUGGGCGUAAAGCGCGCGCAGGCGGUCCCUUAAGUCUGAUGUGAAAGCCCACGGCUCAACCGUGGAGGGCCAUUGGAAACUGGGGGACUUGAGUGCAGAAGAGGAGAGCGGAAUUCCACGUGUAGCGGUGAAAUGCGUAGAGNUGUGGAGGAGCACCAGUGGCGAAGGCGGCUCUCUGGUCUGUAACUGACGCUGAGGCGCGAAAGCGUGGGGAGCAAACAGGAUUAGAUACCCUGGUAGUCCACGCCGUAAACGAUGNGUGCUAAGUGUUAGAGGGGUCAAACCCUUUAGUGCUGUAGCUAACGCGUUAAGCACUCCGCCUGGGGAGUACGGCCGCAAGGCUGAAACUCAAAGGAAUUGACNG
This 409-nucleotide ribosomal RNA is filed under the name Geobacillus sp. DDS016. RNAcentral's name for it is "bacterial SSU rRNA". It matches the Rfam family "Bacterial small subunit ribosomal RNA", at positions 509 to 916 of the family's 1533-position model. Lineage: Bacteria; Bacillati; Bacillota; Bacilli; Caryophanales; Anoxybacillaceae. The record is from RNAcentral.